RNAcentral lists this long non-coding RNA (360 nucleotides) under Phascolarctos cinereus (koala). RNAcentral's name for it is "lncRNA (ENSPCIG00000002826.2)". The record is from RNAcentral. Lineage: Eukaryota; Metazoa; Chordata; Mammalia; Diprotodontia; Phascolarctidae.
CAGAAGCCGGCGUUGAGCAUUUAGGCCUGUAGGUGGCAGCAUUGUCAGGUUUUGCAGCCUGGUAAGCCCGAGUAAGUCUAUUUCUUUUCUGAUCUCUUUCCCUGGCUUCUUAACAUCUUCCUCCUUGCUAUCUCAUCAGGCCCCAGCCAACAUCAUUACCCGCUCUUGUCAGGAUUUAUUACAGAAGCCAGCUGCAAAUUUGUAUAGACCACGCUGGAUGACUAAACUCAUGGCUCCAAGGCCUAACCGAGUUGGAUGGAUGAUGGCGCUGAAGAAAUCAACCAAACGAUUCUGACAAGAAUGAGAAUUUGACUUGAUGUAAAUCUCCUUGGUUUUAAAUAAAAACACAAUAUUUAACCA